GCAAGUCGAACGAAGUAGCAAUACUUAGUGGCAGACGGGUGAGUAACAUGUAGGUAUCUGCCCUUUGGCCUGGAAUAACACGAGGAAACUUGUGCUAAUACCGGAUAAGUCUUUACGGAGAAAGCUUUAUGCACCAUUGGAUGAGCCUGCACUUGAUUAGUUUGUUGGUGGGGUAAUGGCCUACCAAGACUAUGAUCCAUAGCUGUUCUGAGAGGAAGAUC
RNAcentral lists this ribosomal RNA (221 nucleotides) under uncultured bacterium. RNAcentral's name for it is "partial 16S ribosomal RNA". It matches the Rfam family "Bacterial small subunit ribosomal RNA", at positions 57 to 305 of the family's 1533-position model. The record is from RNAcentral.